UACGGAGGGGGCUAGCGUUGUUCGGAAUUACUGGGCGUAAAGCGCACGUAGGCGGCUUUGUAAGUUAGAGGUGAAAGCCCGGGGCUCAACCCCGGAAAUGCCUUUAAGACUGCAUCGCUUGAAUCCAGGAGAGGUGAGUGGAAUUCCGAGUGUAGAGGUGAAAUUCGUAGAUAUUCGGAAGAACACCAGUGGCGAAGGCGGCUCACUGGCCUGGUAUUGACGCUGAGGAGCGAAAGCAUGGGUAGCGAACAGG
Molecule: ribosomal RNA, 253 nt
Filed under: uncultured bacterium
Lineage: Bacteria
Description: partial 16S ribosomal RNA
Rfam family: Bacterial small subunit ribosomal RNA
Source: RNAcentral